GACGAACGCUGGCGGCGUGCUUAACACAUGCAAGUCGAACGGAAAGGCCUGCUUUCCCUUGUGGAUUGCGGGUACUCGCGUGGCGAACGGGUGAGUAACACGUGAGUGAUCUGCCCCCAACUUGGGUAUAAGCCUGGGAAACUGGGUCUAAUUCCCGAUAGGACUGCAGGGUGGUGCCUGUGGUGGAAAACGAUUUUCUAGUGGUUGGGGAUGAGCUCGCGGCCUAUCAGCUUGUUGGUGGGGUAAUGGCCUACCAAGGCGGCGACGGGUAGCCGGCCUGGGGGGGUGGACGGCCACAUUGGGACUGAGAUACGGCCCAGACUCCUACGGGAGGCAGCAGUGGGGAAUAUUGCACAAUGGGCGGAAGCCUGAUGCAGCGACGCCGCGUGGGGGAUGACGGCCUUCGGGUUGUAAACUCCUUUCGACCGCGAGGAAGCCACCUGGUUGGAAGGGUGGUGACGGUAGUGGUAGAAGAAGCACCGGCUAACUACGUG
RNAcentral lists this ribosomal RNA (494 nucleotides) under uncultured bacterium. RNAcentral's name for it is "partial 16S ribosomal RNA". It matches the Rfam family "Bacterial small subunit ribosomal RNA", at positions 28 to 507 of the family's 1533-position model. The record is from RNAcentral.